Molecule: ribosomal RNA, 254 nt
Filed under: uncultured bacterium
Lineage: Bacteria
Description: partial 16S ribosomal RNA
Rfam family: Bacterial small subunit ribosomal RNA
Source: RNAcentral
UACGUAGGGUGCGAGCGUUGUCCGGAAUUAUUGGGCGUAAAGAGCUCGUAGGCGGUUCGGUAAGUCGGGUGUGAAAACUCUGGGCUCAACCCAGAGAGGCCACCCGAUACUGCUGUGACUAGAGUGCGGUAGGGGAGCGGGGAAUUCCUGGUGUAGCGGUGAAAUGCGCAGAUAUCAGGAGGAACACCAGCGGCGAAGGCGCCGCUCUGGGCCGUAACUGACGCUGAGGAGCGAAAGCAUGGGGAGCGAACAGG